Molecule: ribosomal RNA, 377 nt
Filed under: uncultured bacterium
Lineage: Bacteria
Description: bacterial SSU rRNA
Rfam family: Bacterial small subunit ribosomal RNA
Source: RNAcentral
GACGUAGGGAGCGAGCGUUGUCCGGAUUCAUUGGGCGUAAAGCGCGCGUAGGCGGUUUGGUAAGUCGGAUGUGAAAUCCCGAGGCUCAACCUCGUGACUGCAUCCGAUACUGCCCGACUAGAGGUAGGUAGGGGAGAUCGGAAUUCCUGGUGUAGCGGUGAAAUGCGUAGAUAUCAGGAGGAACACCGGUGGCGAAGGCGGAUCUCUGGGCCUUACCUGACGCUGAGGCGCGAAAGCUAGGGGAGCAAACAGGAUUAGAUACCCUGGUAGUCCUAGCCGUAAACGUUGGGUGCUAGGUGUGGGCGGAUAUCGACCCCGUCCGUGCCGAAGCUAACGCAUUAAGCACCCCGCCUGGGGAGUACGGCCGCAAGGCUAGA